CCUACGGGGGGCUGCAGUGGGGAAUAUUGGACAAUGGGCGCAAGCCUGAUCCAGCAAUGCCGCGUGGGUGAAGAAGGUCUUCGGAUUGUAAAGCCCUUUCGACAGGGACGAUGAUGACGGUACCUGUAGAAGAAGCCCCGGCUAACUUCGUGCCAGCAGCCGCGGUAAUACGAAGGGGGCUAGCGUUACUCGGAAUGACUGGGCGUAAAGGGCGCGUAGGCUGUUUGGUAAGUUGGGCGUGAAAUUCCUGGGCUUAACCUGGGGGCUGCGUCCAA
This 275-nucleotide ribosomal RNA is filed under the name uncultured Rhodovarius sp. RNAcentral describes it as "partial 16S ribosomal RNA". It matches the Rfam family "Bacterial small subunit ribosomal RNA", at positions 338 to 630 of the family's 1533-position model. Lineage: Bacteria; Pseudomonadati; Pseudomonadota; Alphaproteobacteria; Acetobacterales; Roseomonadaceae. The record is from RNAcentral.